This 426-nucleotide ribosomal RNA is filed under the name Dendrobates tinctorius group sp. ABGD cluster 5. Its description in RNAcentral is "partial large subunit ribosomal RNA". It matches the Rfam family "Bacterial large subunit ribosomal RNA", at positions 1822 to 2457 of the family's 2925-position model. Lineage: Eukaryota; Metazoa; Chordata; Amphibia; Anura; Dendrobatidae. The record is from RNAcentral.
CUUGACCUAAUAAUAAGAGGUCCAGCCUGCCCAGUGACAUAUAGUUCAACGGCCGCGGUAUCCUAACCGUGCGAAGGUAGCGUAAUCACUUGUUCUUUAAUUGAGGACUAGUAUGAACGGCUUCACGAAGACUACACUGUCUCCUUUUUCUAAUCAAUGAAACUAAUCUCCCCGUGAAGAAGCGGGGAUAAACCUAUAAGACGAGAAGACCCUAUGGAGCUUUAAACGAUCGAAAUAUUUGCUACCCCACUUUUCACCUCCUGAGAACUAAAUAUAUUUUCAGCAUCUUAAUUUCUAGUUUUAGGUUGGGGUGACCACGGAGAACAAACUAACCUCCACGCUGAACGAGCCUUUCUCUUAGCAAAAAGUCACAACUUUAUGCAUCAAUACAUUGACUUCCAUUGACCCAAUUUUUGACCAACGAAC